This 274-nucleotide ribosomal RNA is filed under the name uncultured bacterium. RNAcentral describes it as "partial 16S ribosomal RNA". It matches the Rfam family "Bacterial small subunit ribosomal RNA", at positions 523 to 796 of the family's 1533-position model. The record is from RNAcentral.
AUACAGAGGGUGCAAGCGUUAAUCGGAAUUACUGGGCGUAAAGCGCGCGUAGGUGGUUAGUUAAGUUGGAUGUGAAAGCCCUGGGCUCAACCUGGGAAUGGCAUUCAAAACUGGCUGACUAGAGUAUGGUAGAGGGAAGGGGAAUUCCAGGUGUAGCGGUGAAAUGCGUAGAUAUCUGGAGGAACAUCAGUGGCGAAGGCGCCUUCCUGGACUAAUACUGACACUGAGGUGCGAAAGCGUGGGUAGCAAACAGGAUUAGAUACCCGAGUAGUCC